AGUGAACGCUGGCGGCAGGCCUAACACAUGCAAGUCGAACGGCAGCACAGUAAGAGCUUGCUCUUUCGGGUGGCGAGUGGCGGGCGGGUGAGGAAUACAUCGGAAUCUACUUUUUCGUGGGGGAUAACGUAGGGAAACUUACGCUAAUACCGCAUACGACCUACGGGUGAAAGCAGGGGAUCUUCGGACCUUGCGCGAUUGAAUGAGCCGAUGUCGGAUUAGCUAGUUGGCGGGGUAAAGGCCCACCAAGGCGACGAUCCGUAGCUGGUCUGAGAGGAUGAUCAGCCACACUGGAACUGAGACACGGUCCAGACUCCUACGGGAGGCAGCAGUGGGGAAUAUUGGACAAUGGGCGCAAGCCUGAUCCAGCCAUACCGCGUGGGUGAAGAAGGCCUUCGGGUUGUAAAGCCCUUUUGUUGGGAAAGAAAAGCAGCAGGUUAAUACCCCGCUGUUCUGACGGUACCCAAAGAAUAAGCACCGGCUAACUUCGUG
Molecule: ribosomal RNA, 492 nt
Filed under: uncultured bacterium
Lineage: Bacteria
Description: partial 16S ribosomal RNA
Rfam family: Bacterial small subunit ribosomal RNA
Source: RNAcentral